CACCAAACACUGAAUAUAAGGCAUGAGUGAAUACCGCGUGUCUGUUUUUGUGAAUAUUGUUCCUGUAUACACAGAACUUCAAUGCUAAAUAAAACACAAAGUGAAGCAAAGCACCGGUGUGGUCCCGUGAAGUCCUACGGCCUAGUGUCCUGAGUCCAGGUCUGGAACUCGGGAGCUUAUGGAUAUUUAGUCUCUGCCCAACCACUGCUUUUGUAAACACAGGUGUACUGCCACUUCUUGGGAGGAUUCUGUCUCCUGUGUGGAGAGAGCGGCCGCAGAUGAAAAGUCGGCCUGGGAUACAACUGCUGGAGGCUGCCUUUCAGGU
Non-coding RNA from Macaca mulatta (Rhesus monkey), 325 nucleotides. The record is from RefSeq and is a predicted model, not a curated record. Lineage: Eukaryota; Metazoa; Chordata; Mammalia; Primates; Cercopithecidae.